AGCUCCAAUAGCGUAUGUUAAAGGUGUUGCGGCUAAAAAGCUCGUAGUUGGAUUUCUGUUGAGGACGUCCGGUCCGCUCUAUGAGCAUGCAUCUGGCUCGGCCUCGGCAUCCGCUCUGCAUACGUGUCUGCGCUUGAUUGCGUGGCACGGAGGUAGGGCCUUUUACUUUGAGGAAAUUAGAGUGUUCACGGCAGGCAGUCGCCCUGAAUAUAUUAGCAUGGAAUAAUAACAUAGGAUCUCGGUUCUAUUUUGUUGGUUUCUAGGGCUGAGAUAAUGAUUAAUAGGGACAAUUGGGGGCAUUCGUAUUGCGGUGUCAGAGGUGGGAUUCUUGGAUUACUGCACGACGAACUACUGCGAAAGCAUUUGCCAAGGAUGUUUUCA
RNAcentral lists this ribosomal RNA (381 nucleotides) under uncultured eukaryote. Its description in RNAcentral is "SSU rRNA". It matches the Rfam family "Eukaryotic small subunit ribosomal RNA", at positions 587 to 972 of the family's 1831-position model. The record is from RNAcentral.